UUUCAAAUUUUAACCAGAUGCUCCGCAGGGCGUAGCUUUAUACGACCGCAGAGGUUGAACCCUGAACGGUUAGGGCAAGUAUGGACACAACAUUCAAGCUGGAUUCAGCUCUAAAUUUGGAUUGUGAUUAAAUAGUUGACACAGCAUAGGUUUCUGACACAGAAUGAAUGUGUUCUAAUGAACUUAAAAUUUUUGUUUCUCUUAGAGCAAUUCACUAUGCUGUUGAAUAUUAA
RNAcentral lists this long non-coding RNA (233 nucleotides) under Mytilus galloprovincialis (Mediterranean mussel). Lineage: Eukaryota; Metazoa; Mollusca; Bivalvia; Mytilida; Mytilidae. The record is from RNAcentral.